UACGGAGGGUGCAAGCGUUAUCCGGCUUCCCUGUUUUUCCCUUUUUCUUAGGCGGACAGGUAAGUCAGUGGUGAAAUCUCUGAGCUUAACUCAGAAACUGCCGUUGAUACUAUUUGUCUUGAAUAUCAUGGAGGUAAGCGGAAUAUGUCAUGUAGCGGUGAAAUGCUUAGAUAUGACAUAGAACACCGAUAGCGAAGGC
RNAcentral lists this ribosomal RNA (199 nucleotides) under uncultured prokaryote. RNAcentral's name for it is "partial 16S ribosomal RNA". It matches the Rfam family "Bacterial small subunit ribosomal RNA", at positions 524 to 722 of the family's 1533-position model. The record is from RNAcentral.